Molecule: long non-coding RNA, 1605 nt
Filed under: Homo sapiens (human)
Lineage: Eukaryota; Metazoa; Chordata; Mammalia; Primates; Hominidae
Description: HSALNT0169909
Source: RNAcentral
GUGGAGACACAGCCAAACCAUAUCCCUUUUAUAUGAAAAUCCAGGUGGGCAGAUUUUUCUCUCAGCAGCUGUUCCCUGCAGAGUCUCCUUGCAGAGCCUUUCCUUGGACUUUCCAAAUCCAGCCCUUGGCUAAGGACUGACAGCAUCUCUCAGGCAGACCACUGCCUGCCCCUACCCUGUGCAGCUUCCUCCCACACAGCCUCACCCACAAACCCACCUUUCUCCACAGCCACAAACUCCGAUCUCUGCCUUCUUAGAGCAGAGAGGCCAUUCCUCUCCACGUGGUCUCACCUCCCUGCACCCUAACUGAAACCUGGGAGUGAGGGGAAAGAGGAGCUCAGGUCAUGUGCCUCCCGCCUCUCAAGGAUGGCAGCCUUGCGCUGGCUGUAGCAGAAUACCGGAAAAGAUCUGCCUAAGGGCCAUAUUAUUUCAUUUCCACUCCACAAAUCCAACAUAGUUAAUUGGGUUUGAUAUUAAUGAGCUUGUACAGCUAAAACAUGGAAAUAUAAUAACUACUGUUGAUCGAUCUUUCAGCCCCGUCACGAAGGGCCCUCGUAACUGGACCUCAUGCCAAACAACUCGUUACAAAAAGAGCUAGGGUCUCAGACCACGCAGAAGCUUCAUGAGACCCCUCCUUGUCUGCAUGGACAAGUGGUCGACUCUGGAUCCCAAGAUGUUGCUUCCCAGUUUGGUGGUGAAUCCUCCAUAGUCUGCUAACUGAAAGGCUCAACACUCCAGUGAAGAAGAAACCACAAAUGAUGAACAAAUGUUUUGUCACUCUUUCAGAUUCAGAAAUUUUGCUUGAAAAAAGUCUGAAGAAACUAAUUUAGGAAAGAAACCUCUGCCAAUAACUCUAAAGAGUUUGAAUUGGUUGCCUUUAUUCCUAACACUAUGAUGUUUUGGGAUAGGAACUAGUAGAUGGUAUUUUUUCUUUCCCAUUGGCAGUAUAUCAUUUACAACAGAUGUUCCCGACUCAGGAUAAAAUGUAACUGGCAGCCAGAGUCACCCACCAGCCCCUGAGGAAAGGGCUCAACCUUGAGAACAUCUGGCUGGCUUCAAGAAGGUCACACAAAUACAAGAUGAUGCUGAGGAUAAGACAAGUGGUUUUGAGAGAGGAAAACCUUUAAAAAUAUUUGGAAGAGUCCUGAAGACCAAUAAAAUAAAGACACUGCAAUACUUCAUGGACACCAGAGAGCAAUUUAACACUGAAAUGAAAGCAACAUGUUGCACCUGAACACUGAAAAAAGCCCAUGUGUUAAGAGGAAGAAGAAAUAUGCAAUUCACUGCAAUAAAUAUUGAACCUUUAAAAAACAGAAGGAACAUGAAAACUAAAGGACACUGGGCCACAGCAAAUAAGGUGGCGGCAGCCAUCCCAUAAUGAUUACAUGAUCUCCAUGAUUGUAAAAUGUAUAUGCCACCUGAAUUUAUUCUUAGACCUUCUCUCAAAGAUGUCUGCAUUCAACACAGGCAAUAACUGCAGGUAAUAGUGAAGAAUCCUUCAGGCAUGAUAGAGGAACAGACUAAGUGUGGGAAAAGGAAGAACUAGGCCGGGCGCGGUGGCUCACGCCUGUAAUCCCAGCACUUUGGGAGGCCGAGGCGGGCGGA